This 53-nucleotide microRNA precursor is filed under the name Ciona intestinalis (vase tunicate). RNAcentral describes it as "microRNA cin-mir-4009a precursor". Lineage: Eukaryota; Metazoa; Chordata; Ascidiacea; Phlebobranchia; Cionidae. The record is from miRBase by way of RNAcentral.
GGUUUUCCAUGUGUAAGAGCUAUUAUGCUAUGCUAUUGCACAUGUUGUACCAA